Molecule: ribosomal RNA, 406 nt
Filed under: uncultured bacterium
Lineage: Bacteria
Description: partial 16S ribosomal RNA
Rfam family: Bacterial small subunit ribosomal RNA
Source: RNAcentral
AUUGAACGCUGGCGGCAGGCCUAACACAUGCAAGUCGAACGAGUGGCGGACGGGUGAGUAAUGUCUGGGAAACUGCCUGAUGGAGGGGGAUAACUACUGGAAACGGUAGCUAAUACCGCAUACCAUCAGAUGUGCCCAGAUGGGAUUAGCUUGUUGGUGGGGUAUCGGCGCACCAAGGCUACGAUCCCUAGCUGGUCUGAGAGGAUGACCAUCCACACGGGAACUGAGUCACGGUCCAGACUCCGCCGGGAGGCAGCAGUUGGGAAUAUUGCACAAUGGGCGCAAGCCGGAUGCGUCCAUGCCGCGUGUAUGAAGAAGGCCUUCGGGUUGUAAAGUACUUUCAGCGGGGAGGCGUUACCCGCAGAAGAAGCACCGGCUAACUACGUGCGAGCAGCCGCGGUAAUUC